This 341-nucleotide ribosomal RNA is filed under the name uncultured bacterium. RNAcentral describes it as "bacterial SSU rRNA". It matches the Rfam family "Bacterial small subunit ribosomal RNA", at positions 185 to 507 of the family's 1533-position model. The record is from RNAcentral.
CAUACGAGUCUAUGGAUGAAAGCGGGGGACCGUAAGGCCUCGCGCGAUUGGAGCGGCCGAUGGCAGAUUAGGUAGUUGGUGGGGUAAAGGCUCACCAAGCCUGCGAUCUGUAGCUGGUCUGAGAGGACGACCAGCCACACUGGAACUGAGACACGGUCCAGACUCCUACGGGAGGCAGCAGUGGGGAAUUUUGGACAAUGGGCGCAAGCCUGAUCCAGCCAUUCCGCGUGCAGGAUGAAGGCCUUCGGGUUGUAAACUGCUUUUGUACGGAACGAAAAGGUUUUCCUUAAUACGGAGAGCUCAUGACGGUACCGUAAGAAUAAGCACCGGCUAACUACGUG